RNAcentral lists this ribosomal RNA (523 nucleotides) under uncultured Glomus. RNAcentral's name for it is "SSU rRNA". It matches the Rfam family "Eukaryotic small subunit ribosomal RNA", at positions 568 to 1092 of the family's 1831-position model. Lineage: Eukaryota; Fungi; Glomeromycota; Glomeromycetes; Glomerales; Glomeraceae. The record is from RNAcentral.
CAGCAGCCGCGGUAAUUCCAGCUCCAAUAGCGUAUAUUAAAGUUGUUGCAGUUAAAAAGCUCGUAGUUGAAUUUCGGGGUCAGUAGGUCGGUCGUGCCACUGGUAUGAACUGGUUUUACUGAUUCCUCCCUCUUGAAGAACUAUAAUGUCAUUAAUUUGGUGUUGUAGGGAAUCAGGACUGUUACUUUGAAAAAAUUAGAGUGUUUAAAGCAGGCUUUAGCUUGAAUACAUUAGCAUGGAAUAAUGAAAUAGGACGUUUGAUCCUAUUUUGUUGGUUUCUAGGAUUGACGUAAUGAUUAAUAGGGAUAGUUGGGGGCAUUAGUAUUCAAUUGUCAGAGGUGAAAUUCUUGGAUUUAUUGAAGACUAACUACUGCGAAAGCAUUUGCCAAGGAUGUUUUCAUUAAUCAAGAACGAAAGUUAGGGGAUCGAAGACGAUCAGAUACCGUCGUAGUCUUAACCAUAAACUAUGCCGACUAGGGAUCGGAUGAUGUUAAUUUUUUAAUGACUCAUUCGGCGCCUUACG